AACGAACGCUGGCGGCGUGCUUAACACAUGCAAGUCAAGGAGAAAGUCUCUUCGGGGGCGAGUAAACUGGCGCACGGGUGAGUAACGCGUGAGGAACCUGCCCAUAUGUCUGGGAUAACCUGCUGAAAAGCGGGCUAAUACUGGAUAUAUUGUUUACCGCAUGGUGGACAAGGAAAGUUGGUGUAAGCUAACGCAUAUGGAUGGUCUCGCGUCUGAUUAGCUAGUUGGUGGGGUAAAGGCUCACCAAGGCUACGACCAGUAGCCGGUCUGAGAGGGUGGCCGGCCACACUGGGACUGAGACACGGCCCAGACUCCUACGGGAGGCAGCAGUGGGGAAUUUUGCACAAUGGGGGCAACCCUGAUGCAGCGACGCCGCGUGAACGAGGAAGGCCUUCGGGUCGUAAAGUUCUUUCGACGGGGAAGAAAUGUUAUACGAGUAACUGCGUAUAAUUUGACGGUACCUGUAGAAGCAGCCCCGGCUAACUCCGUG
This 490-nucleotide ribosomal RNA is filed under the name uncultured bacterium. RNAcentral describes it as "bacterial SSU rRNA". It matches the Rfam family "Bacterial small subunit ribosomal RNA", at positions 29 to 507 of the family's 1533-position model. The record is from RNAcentral.